GGUGGCUCAAUGGUAAGAGUGCUUGCCUUGCAUGCCUGAGGCCCUGGGUUUGAUUCCCAACACCA
This 65-nucleotide transfer RNA is filed under the name Dipodomys ordii (Ord's kangaroo rat). It matches the Rfam family "tRNA". From Rfam's summary of the family: Transfer RNA (tRNA) molecules are approximately 80 nucleotides in length. Their secondary structure includes four short double-helical elements and three loops (D, anti-codon, and T loops). The record is from Rfam by way of RNAcentral. Lineage: Eukaryota; Metazoa; Chordata; Mammalia; Rodentia; Heteromyidae.